Molecule: ribosomal RNA, 253 nt
Filed under: uncultured bacterium
Lineage: Bacteria
Description: partial 16S ribosomal RNA
Rfam family: Bacterial small subunit ribosomal RNA
Source: RNAcentral
UACGUAGGGAGCAAGCGUUGUCCGGAAUCAUUGGGCGUAAAGCGCGCGUAGGCGGCCCCGUAAGUCCGCUGUGAAAGUCAAAGGCUCAACCUUUGAAAGCCGGUGGAUACUGUGGGGCUAGAGUACGGAAGAGGCGAGUGGAAUUCCUGGUGUAGCGGUGGAAUGCGCAGAUAUCAGGAGGAACACCAAUAGCGAAGGCAGCUCGCUGGGACGUUACUGACGCUGAGGCGCGAAAGCGUGGGGAGCAAACAGG